Molecule: long non-coding RNA, 1333 nt
Organism: Strongylocentrotus purpuratus (purple sea urchin)
Lineage: Eukaryota; Metazoa; Echinodermata; Echinoidea; Camarodonta; Strongylocentrotidae
Exons: 3
Source: RefSeq, a predicted model, not a curated record
CUGCUAACUUCAGCUAAGAGUAUUUGCCAUAUUUUCGGGAGAUUUAGGCAAGAUGUGGUGGGAAAUAAUCCCCGGUUUGGCCAUUAUUUGUGGAUGUGUAACUGCUGUAGGUGGUCUUACUAUAACUGUACAGAAAUUGCAGCAUGGCGGAAAGGCAAGGAGAACAGCCUACACACGAUUCGACUACACAAUGAUCAUGAGAGAUAAGAAAAUUGCAGGCAAAUACUGGAAAGCAAAGGGACUCGAGUCAUUAGCCGGUGUGAAUGUAAAGUAGACACCUCCAGUAUGCUGUUUGCAAUUCCUCUCCUUCAUCUACAAUGCUUUGCCAGGAGACCUGCCCAACAGAACAUUAAAAUAUCUACCAGAUCUGAGACAUCCUUUUAUGCAGUGGAUUGACAAUUCAACAUGCCUAUGGGAAAUGAUGGUUCAUCAUCAUGGAGUCACUUUAUCUGACAUAAAUCAUUUUACUUCCUUCAUUGAUAUUUUGUGAGCUUAUGGAGCUAUGUAAUAUGCCCAGUUGUCCAUCCUUAAUUAACAUCAGGUACUUUCAAAAGAACAAUUUGAAGAAAAAAACAACACAUAAACAUCAAUAGUUUAGUCAACUUUAGUGUUGUACAUAUGAAUGUACCUGUAUUCUUAACCUGAAAGUGGGAUGUUCAUUGCAACCCUUUUGUUUUUGAAAAUAAAUUCCAUUAUUUCCAUAUAUAUAAUUUAGUCUCUUUUAUCAAGAGAAAAUGGUUUAGUACAGAAAUUUAUCAUUAAGCUUAUAAUUUUUGCAAUUCCCAUAUUGAUUUGUGUCAUUACAUGUAAUUUGAGGUUAACUCAAUGGAAAUUCUGCCGUAUAGCUGUAAAAUUGUGUGAAACAGUGAGAAAAGGAAUCAACCCUUAAUUCUACCAAAGAAUACAAUCAAUUUCUAAAGAGCCAUAUCUCGCAGAUUCUGUUAAUGUGGCAGGGUACUUGCAUGUGCACUGUGCAAGCUGGAAUCUCAGCGACUGCUGUGAUUCAUGUACAUGUACUUUAUGGCAAAUACAUGUUCAUGUACCCUAACAUUCUCUGUUUGGAACCAGAAGGGCAUUUACUCUGUACAAAAUAAUACAAGUUAACACCCUACUGGCUCCAAACAGCUGUUAUGUCAUUCAUGUUGUUCAUGGAAGAGGAUAUUAUUGAUGUGGGUUUAUACACUAGCAAGUGCAUUUGUGGUGAAACAUUUUCCUUGUGUAAUAUAUGAUGGAUAUUUGCCAUAUUUGAUAUGGACACUUUCUCUGCUUUUCUCAAGAAAAAGAGAGUGUAUGAUGUUGAUGUGGCCAGUAAAUAUAUAGUUAUUGAAAUAUA